UACGUAUGGAGCAAGCGUUAUCCGGAUUUACUGGGUGUAAAGGGAGCGUAGACGGCGAAGCAAGUCUGAAGUGAAAAUCCGGGGCUCAACUCCGGAAGUGCUUUGGAAACUGUUUUGAUAGAGUGUCGGAGAGGUAAGUGGAAUUCCUGGUGUAGCGGUGAAAUGCGUAGAUAUCAGGAAGAACACCGGUGGCGAAGGCGGCUACCUAGACAGAGACUGACGCGGAUGUACGAAAGCGUGGGGAGCAAAUAGG
This 253-nucleotide ribosomal RNA is filed under the name uncultured bacterium. RNAcentral's name for it is "partial 16S ribosomal RNA". It matches the Rfam family "Bacterial small subunit ribosomal RNA", at positions 524 to 776 of the family's 1533-position model. The record is from RNAcentral.